RNAcentral lists this ribosomal RNA (398 nucleotides) under uncultured bacterium. Its description in RNAcentral is "bacterial SSU rRNA". It matches the Rfam family "Bacterial small subunit ribosomal RNA", at positions 362 to 777 of the family's 1533-position model. The record is from RNAcentral.
UAUUGGACAAUGGGGGAAACCCUGAUCCAGCGAUGCCGCGUGGGGGAAGAAGGUUUUCGGAUUGUAAACCUCUGUGGACAGGGACGAUAAUGACGGUACCUGUCAAGAAAGCCACGGCUAACUACGUGCCAGCAGCCGCGGUAAUACGUAGGUGGCGAGCGUUGUCCGGAAUUACUGGGUGUAAAGGGAGUGUAGGCGGGAAGGCAAGUCAGAAGUGAAAAUUAUGGGCUCAACCCAUAACCUGCUUUUGAAACUGUUUUUCUUGAGUGAAGCAGAGGCAAGCGGAAUUCCUAGUGUAGCGGUGAAAUGCGUAGAUAUUAGGAGGAACACCAGUGGCGAAGGCGGCUUGCUGGGCUUUUACUGACGCUGAGGCUCGAAAGCGUGGGGAGCAAACAGGA